AACCCUCUGGGAAAAAAGAAAAGCCCUCUCAAUUGUAGAUAGUUGAACAGCACGCUCAAAAGAGCUGUAUCUGCAAAAAAAAGUUACAUUCUUGAAGUAAUAAAUGUCCUUGUUAGGGAAAAUGUCACACUUAGUCUAUUUUUUAAUAAAUUAAACCUGCACAGGAACACCACCACUGUUGAGAUUAGCUGGAAUGGCCACUUUUUGUGCUUGUAUACCUGUGCAUUUCCUAUUGGAAAUGGCUCCUGGAAGGUUUUAGCUUCCAAAAAUCUGUCUUGGGCCACAACGAGUUUACCAGCGUAAACAGUGCUAUUCCAGUGCCUGGGGGUUUCCUAGCCAUUGUUUAGUUUGUUAAUCUAGAUAUCUAUUUACAGUUCAGUUUAAAAUUCACAGUUGAUACACCAACCCACUCAUGGCCAGGGGUUAUUCAAAGAUGACCACUGCAAACCUGCUUGCUCCUUGUGCUACUCAGCAGAAGAAAUAGUGGAAGAGUGACAGUAUCAUCCAGUAAAAUUCCAGUUUCUGGGCUUAACUGAUUCUUAAAUUUAAAAUUAAUUUAAUAAUAAUCAAGAGUCACUCUUCCACUGUUUCUUCCCCUGACUGAGUAGCACCAGCUGCUGCCAGGUCCCCUCAGCAGCCAGUGAGUGCUGUGGGGCUCUGGCUGAGCAGGAGCUGGGUAAUGAGACCCAAAGACACACCCAAAGGGCUGCACUGCAGGAACUUGGUACAGGCAAGAGGAGCAGAGAGGUGAGGGGAUUGUCUGAGAUGGUUCCCUCAGAAUGUUCCUGUGUGAGCUUUGGCAAGUGACCCUCAUUCCUGAGACUGAGCUCCUGCUCUGGAGGGCUAGACCAGUAGAAUGUCCUUAGCUUAUAUUUAUUAGUGAAGAUAAAUACAUUUAAAAGCAUGCAGUGUGUAUCCCCACAGCAGUGAAUCUACCCUGAGAGCUGUAAAUUGGCAGGAAGGCACAGGUUCUGUUUUUGUGUAAAUCUUCUCAAACCAGUAUUACUUUUCCAAGUAAUAGUAAAGAACUCUAUGUCAGCUUUCAAAUUCAGGUGACAUUUUCUACAAAUAAAGGCAAUUUCUUCAUGAAACUCA
Molecule: long non-coding RNA, 1095 nt
Filed under: Parus major (Great Tit)
Lineage: Eukaryota; Metazoa; Chordata; Aves; Passeriformes; Paridae
Description: lncRNA (ENSPMJG00000008848.1)
Source: RNAcentral